GUCGAGCGGAACGAGUUAUCUGAACCUUCGGGGRACGAUAACGGCGUCGAGCGGCGGACGGGUGAGUAAUGCCUAGGAAAUUGCCCUGAUGUGGGGGAUAACCAUUGGAAACGAUGGCUAAUACCGCAUGAUGCCUACGGGCCAAAGAGGGGGACCUUCGGGCCUCUCGCGUCAGGAUAUGCCUAGGUGGGAUUAGCUAGUUGGUGAGGUAAGGGCUCACCAAGGCGACGAUCCCUAGCUGGUCUGAGAGGAUGAUCAGCCACACUGGAACUGAGACACGGUCCAGACUCCUACGGGAGGCAGCAGUGGGGAAUAUUGCACAAUGGGCGCAAGCCUGAUGCAGCCAUGCCGCGUGUGUGAAGAAGGCCUUCGGGUUGUAAAGCACUUUCAGUCGUGAGGAAGGUGGURGUGUUAAUAGCWSUAUYAUUUGACGUUAGCGACAGAAGAAGCACCGGCUAACUCCGUGCCAGCAGCCGCGGUARUACGGAGGGUGCGAGCGUUAWUCGGAAUUACUGGGCGUAAAGCGCAUGCAGGUGGUUUGUUAAGUCAGAUGUGAAAGCCCGGRGCUCAMCCUCGGAAUAGCAUUUGAAACUGGCAGACUASAGUACUGUAGAGGGGGGGUAGAAUUUC
RNAcentral lists this ribosomal RNA (630 nucleotides) under Vibrio parahaemolyticus. RNAcentral describes it as "bacterial SSU rRNA". It matches the Rfam family "Bacterial small subunit ribosomal RNA", at positions 61 to 670 of the family's 1533-position model. Lineage: Bacteria; Pseudomonadati; Pseudomonadota; Gammaproteobacteria; Vibrionales; Vibrionaceae. The record is from RNAcentral.